Molecule: long non-coding RNA, 364 nt
Filed under: Pan troglodytes (chimpanzee)
Lineage: Eukaryota; Metazoa; Chordata; Mammalia; Primates; Hominidae
Description: long non-coding RNA NONPTRT016253
Source: RNAcentral
AGGUCAAAACUAGAAAACUAUGUCCGGGCUCCGCCGAGGCAGAAGGAUCCCUUCAGGCCAGGAGUUAAAGAGCGGCCUGGGCAACAUGGCGCGACCCCAUCUCUGUAGUCCCUCCUCAGCUUCCCAGAUACUUGAACCCCAAGGUUCAAGGCUGCAGUGAGCUAUGAUCCCAUCACAGCACUCCAUCCUGCGAGACUGAGAGAAAUGGAAUAAUUGUAUUGCUGAUCUACAUAAACAAGUUGAAGAAUUGUCUGAAAGAAAAUAUGGUGUGUCUAAACUGGAAAAGUCCUGUGAUAGUUUGUUCAUGAGCAUUUACACAAUGGAGUUACUGUUCAUCAUGGGGGUACUGUGGACAAGCCCAGGG